Molecule: long non-coding RNA, 588 nt
Filed under: Homo sapiens (human)
Lineage: Eukaryota; Metazoa; Chordata; Mammalia; Primates; Hominidae
Description: HSALNT0097023
Source: RNAcentral
GGAUUGGAAGCCAGUGGAUUCAACUUACCCAGGUUCCAAAAGGUGUCUACUGAUUCACGGGAAAGUCUUGACCACUGCCAGGAUGAUACAGUUCUUUGUAGAUCCCACUAUGGCUGAGAUUGACUGAGAAAUCCACAAUGUUGAAAACGAGAACACUAAGCUCCUUCUCUGAGACACUGACUCUGGCCAGUCCAACUUACUCAGAGAUAAGAUGAGACCAAAACACGUAAUGAAUGAACAAGAAAUGAUCCUUUGGAAUUUUAGUUAUUUGAGCAGCUUAGUUUAGAGAAUUCCUUCUUCCUUUUCAGACAAGCAGUUCACACGCCCUAAGUGGAAAACCUGGAACCAGAGUGAAGACUAGAUAAGGCAGCUUUUCUCCUGAGGGAGGGAGGAGGGGGCAUGAUGAGGCCAUGUAGUUGACAUUGGUAUUGUGUAGCUGAGCUGGCACAGAAUACAGCAGAGUAUCCCCCUGACUAUUCCUAUUUCAAAGAUAUAUAAUACUUUCACCACCUCCUUUUCACUAUUUUUUAUAUCUGGAUGGGACAUAUUAAGUGGCCUCACAGUGUAAUGAGUUUCAAUGUCCUCCUG